UUAAUUGCUCCUUUUGGAGCAAUAAAUAUUGCAAUAUAAAAAAUUU
Solenopsis invicta (red fire ant) is the source of this 46-nucleotide non-coding RNA. The record is from Rfam. Lineage: Eukaryota; Metazoa; Arthropoda; Insecta; Hymenoptera; Formicidae.